This 2822-nucleotide long non-coding RNA is filed under the name Coffea arabica (coffee). RNAcentral's name for it is "long non-coding RNA (CARA_LNC000108)". The record is from RNAcentral. Lineage: Eukaryota; Viridiplantae; Streptophyta; Magnoliopsida; Gentianales; Rubiaceae.
CAAAAACUGGGCGGUGGCCGAAAGGAAACAAUCUAAUCUCCUUAAUCAAUAAGGCCGAGAGAGUUGAGAAGAAAAGUUGUCUUCCUUUCUUGCUUCUUCCUAAAGCAGACUCGAGUGAGUGAGAUGGAGUGUGAGGGAAAAGAAAGUGUAAGCUUCACCAACAGCUAACUAUGCGAACGAAAACAGAAGGGAGGUCGAGUGAGGAGUUGUGAUAGCAAACUUGAGCAGCCUGCAACAUCGAACUUUAAGGGAACAGGUAAGAGCUAUAACCACUCUCUGUUUAGUUGAUUUAAUCCAUUAAACAUAAGCCUUAUACGUUGAAUUUAGCUAGAGGCUUAGUUCUGGUUCAAGAAAAUGUUAUGCAGAAUUUGUAACUAAGAGCAGAAAUGAGGUAUGGUUUUGUUUAGUUCUUGAAUUUAGUCUAACAUUUGUUAAGGACAACCUGUAACCGAAGAGAUGUUCCCUGCAUGCUAACUGGAACCUGAGAUUGAAGGGGGAUCCUAAGGAACUAACAAAUGAUACCUUGUUGCUAUACGCAUGUGAAAGCAUUCAAAUCUGAUGCAUGCUGCAAUGCACCAGAUUUGCAGCUAGCUGCAGAAACGAAGCAGAACUCAGUCUUUUUUCCUUUGAACCCUGGUCAUGAACGACCUUGUUUAGCUUAGAGUAACCCGCAGUAGGUUAAGUGUCCUCUGCAUAAAUGAUUGAGACCAAAACUCAGGAAGCUUAACUAGUUGAUGCAACCUGCUGUGAAUCCGAGAGGGAGGAAAUUAACCUUGGAAAGAAAAGCUGCAAACCCUUAAACUUCUAAACUAACUUACAGAGUUGAACCUGUUAUAAUGCCUCUAAAUCUCCACCAGAAAGACAGAAAUGAGUAGGAACUAAACUGAUUGUUGAAGGCAGAAUAAGUUUAGUGAUGGCAGGUAACUUGUCCGAGAGAAUGAAGCAGAAUGUGCUUCUGAUCGGCUAUUUUUUACCCUGAAAAUGUGAGAACUGGGUGUCGAUGCCACCAUAAGAAAUGUAGGUUCAUGUCUUAGUUUCGAAACAUUAUAAAAUUUACCUCAAUCCGAUAAGUAUAGCUCCAGUUAUGAUCAAAACACCAGAGGUUGGCAAAGCUGCCUUUCUCGUUGCCUUUCUCUUGUUUUUCCGAAUGCAUUCUACUUGAUGCUGGCCGUGAAGAAACUUAUUUUUUUAACAGCAUUUCAUCUAAUUCCCAACCCUGUAAGCAUUCAUAAAUGAUAGUUAAGGUUGCUCUGAGAUUUAACGACUAUAUCUAGUUCACGAGUAGAGUUAAAUUAAAGCAAAUGAGAGGAAAACUCAUGAUAGUUAUAUACCUAAAUUGGCUUCUAAUCACUUAAUAUUGUCUUUACAAAUAUGUUAAAAACUAUAAAAUUUGAGGGACGAGUGUAGUGGAAUAAAAUUUAAUUUACAAAUAACUUGGAGUUUAACUAAUUUAAAAAGGGGACCAAUGGAAUAUUCCUAAGCUUUAAACUUAGAAUCUUGAGUAGAAAAUGAUUAAUCCUAAUGUAAACAUUUUAUAAAUUAUUAACUUGAAAAGUAUGUAUAAUUCGUGAUUUAAGAUAAUAAAGUCAAUAAGUCUCGAAAUAAAUUGGGGAAUAAAUAUUGCGUAUAUUUUAUAUUUUAAAGUCAAACCUAAUUCGAAUAAUUUAAGUAAUAAGUGAACAUAUACAAAUUAUAAAUUUAUCAUGAAAUUAUAUAUUUAUCUCAGGAAGUAGCUGUGAGCCAGGAAACAAACCCGAGACUCGAGAGUAAAUUAUUUGGAUAAUUGGUGAGUGUUUUCCGAAUUUAUGUGUUUAACUGUUUAUGUGUAUCUAAGUGAAAUUAUGUGACAAAUGUGCUUAUCAUGAAUUAUUACUAAAUGAUUCCUUGUGAAGUGUAUCUCAAUUGUCCCUCACCUUCUAAGUCGAGAGUGUACUUUAUCACACUCGGCUUAGUUGAGUUUGAGGUCAAUAAUUGGCUGAAUGUUAUUGUAAGUGUGCAUGAAUGUAAGUCGUAUAUGUGCCUCACCGCAUCGGCUGAACUGGGCCCCAAAACUCUCUGUUCAACGGACUAUUCGGGCCAGCAAAGGGCUUGGUUGGGUAGGACCGUAGUUUUGAGUAAAUGUUUCGGUAUACUCGAGUAUUACCAUGAGGUUGGGAGUUAUUGAACUAAUUAUUGAAUAUAGGGGAUUGUUUGUUGUAUUGGAGGACAUAAGGAGGUGAAUCAGCGGAAUGUGCAAUGAUAUUGAAAUGAAUGUACAAUGAUGGUGAAAUAAGUGUCUCUUGAUACUGAAAUGAAUGCUCAAUGACCUUGAAGUGGCUCUAAUGCGAGCACCGUAUCCUGUUGAAAGUGAUUGUUUAGUGAAGUGUUUUUUCGAUUGCUUAAUGAAAGUGAUUGUAUAAUAAAAUGUGCACUACUUGCUUAAUUGUACUGAUUUAAGUGUUUAUUAAAUGUUGCCUACUAGGCAAACCUCACUGAGGUUUAGCUCAACCCUUUAGUUUUGUUUUCCUUAUAGGAGCUGGUGGUAGGGGAACGAACGAGGGAUCUUAGGGAGUUAACGUGAAGAUUUUUGUGAUUGUAAAUCCUUUAGUUUCAUAUUAUGGUUGAAACUUUUGUAUUGAACUUGGUAUUGUAAAAGAUUUGAGCGUUUGGUUUUGGUUAUCAAAAUGUUAUUUCUGAAGUUAAUGUAAGUGAGUGCGCCCUGGCGAGAGCCAGGCAGGCGAUCCGCUAACUUUUAGGGUAUGCCCUAGAAGAAGGUGAGGCCGUCACAACACAUGAUAUUCUUUCAAAAAAAAUUUGAAUUGUUCUCCCUGUUAUAGAACUCA